RNAcentral lists this long non-coding RNA (575 nucleotides) under Ananas comosus (pineapple). Its description in RNAcentral is "long non-coding RNA (ACOM_LNC011949)". Lineage: Eukaryota; Viridiplantae; Streptophyta; Magnoliopsida; Poales; Bromeliaceae. The record is from RNAcentral.
UAGGUUGUUCUAAGUGUGUUGCUCUAUGAGUUUUGUGGGAUCUUUGGAGUGUAAGAAAGCUAGGGUUUAGAAUUGAGGUUUUGGGAUUUAAGGGUUUUGAAACUAAUUGAUCUCCUAAUUCUCUAAUUGAAGGAUAGAGGAGAGCCCCAGACAACUCUAGAUUGCAGAUUGGUGAGCGUUCGGUGAUCGAUUGCGAGUUCGAGACGAACCGAGUAACGUGUGCCGUGGGAGUCCGAUUGCAAGUGUCGAUAAGCAAUCAGAGAGUAUUGUUAGGUGGGUUGUGCUCCACCGAAGUGAUUAGAUCACUUCCAUAUCAAAGUGAAGUAUGGGUGUAUUAUUGAUGCGUGUAAUGGUAGUUCAAUUGUGAAUUGUGAAUGCAUGAGAUAGAUGCUAAUUGUGAAUGCAUGAGAUAGAUGCUAAUUGUUAAUGGAUGAGAUAUAUUGACUACCAUUUGACAAGAACUUAGGCAUGAGCAAGCGUAUAGGAUGAAUGUAUGUGUAUGCCUAGAUGUGAAUGUUGAAUUGAGAUCGAUGAACUCUAGAAAGAGUAGAGAAUUCGAUAAGUGUGGCAUGAAU